This 497-nucleotide ribosomal RNA is filed under the name uncultured bacterium. RNAcentral describes it as "partial 16S ribosomal RNA". It matches the Rfam family "Bacterial small subunit ribosomal RNA", at positions 28 to 507 of the family's 1533-position model. The record is from RNAcentral.
GAUGAACGCUGGCGGCGUGCCUAAUACAUGCAAGUCGAGCGAACAGAUAAGGAGCUUGCUCCUUUGACGUUAGCGGCGGACGGGUGAGUUACACGUGGAUAACCUACCUAUAAGACUGGGAUAACUUCGGGAAACCGGAGCUAAUACCGGAUAACAUAUUGAACCGCAUGGUUCAAUAGUGAAAGGCGGCUUUGCUGUCACUUAUAGAUGGAUCCGCGCCGUAUUAGCUAGUUGGUAAGGUAACGGCUUACCAAGGCAACGAUACGUAGCCGACCUGAGAGGGUGAUCGGCCACACUGGAACUGAGACACGGUCCAGACUCCUACGGGAGGCAGCAGUAGGGAAUCUUCCGCAAUGGGCGAAAGCCUGACGGAGCAACGCCGCGUGAGUGAUGAAGGUCUUCGGAUCGUAAAACUCUGUUAUCAGGGAAGAACAAAUGUGUAAGUAACUGUGCACAUCUUGACGGUAUCUGAUCAGAAAGCCACGGCUAACUACGUG